Molecule: ribosomal RNA, 497 nt
Filed under: Craugastor noblei (Noble's robber frog)
Lineage: Eukaryota; Metazoa; Chordata; Amphibia; Anura; Craugastoridae
Description: partial large subunit ribosomal RNA
Rfam family: Bacterial large subunit ribosomal RNA
Source: RNAcentral
ACUCAUGUUCAACGGCCGCGGUAUUCUGACCGUGCAAAGGUAGCACAAUCACUUGUCCCUUAAAUAGGGGCUCGUAUGAAUGGCAUCACGAGGACUAAACUGUCUCCCUCUUCUAAUCAGUGAAACUAAUCCCCCUGUGAAAAAGCAGGGAUAACUAUAUAAGACGAGAAGACCCUAUGGAGCUUUAAACCAAAUAGCAUCUGCCUAUCUUUCUCCAUGAAGUUAACACUACUGCACUCUGUCUAUAAGGUUUUUGGUUGGGGUGACCAUGGAGAAAAACUCAUCCUCCAUACUGAAACAAGCCUAAAGCUACAACUUCACGAAUCAACAAAUUGACACAAUUGACCCAAACAUUUGACCAACGAACCAAGUUACCCUAGGGAUAACAGCGCCAUCCACCUUGAGAGUACAUAUCGACAGGUGGGCUUACGACCUCGAUGUUGGAUCAGGGUACCCCAGUGGUGCAGCCGCUACUAAAGGUUCGUUUGUUCAACGAU